AGUGAACGCUGGCGGUAGGCCUAACACAUGCAAGUCGAACGGCAGCACAGUAAGAGCUUGCUCUUACGGGUGGCGAGUGGCGGACGGGUGAGGAAUACAUCGGAAUCUACUUUUUCGUGGGGGAUAACGUAGGGAAACUUACGCUAAUACCGCAUACGACCUACGGGUGAAAGAAGGGGAUCUUCGGACCUUGCGCGAUUGAAUGAGCCGAUGUCGAAUUCGUUAGUUGGCGGGGUAAAGGCCCACCAAGGCGACGAUCCGUAGCUGGUCUGAGAGGAUGAUCAGCCACACUGGAACUGAGACACGGUCCAGACUCCUACGGGAGGCAGCAGUGGGGAAUAUUGGACAAUGGGCGCAAGCCUGAUCCAGCCAUACCGCGUAGGUGAAGAAGGCCUUCGGGUUGUAAAGCCCUUUUGUUGGGAAAGAAAAGCAGCAGGUUAAUACCCCGCUGUUCUGACGGUACCCAAAGAAUAAGCACCGGCUAACUUCGUG
This 492-nucleotide ribosomal RNA is filed under the name uncultured bacterium. RNAcentral describes it as "partial 16S ribosomal RNA". It matches the Rfam family "Bacterial small subunit ribosomal RNA", at positions 29 to 507 of the family's 1533-position model. The record is from RNAcentral.